UUUGAUCUAUACAUGUAACUCCGAAUAAAUUGGUUGAGUGCUCUUCUUUCGUUUGUCCACUCACUCGUAUAUAUAUAUAUAUAUAUGCAUGGCAGUGUGGUAAGAAGCUUGCUUCCCAA
Molecule: long non-coding RNA, 119 nt
Organism: Octopus sinensis (East Asian common octopus)
Lineage: Eukaryota; Metazoa; Mollusca; Cephalopoda; Octopoda; Octopodidae
Exons: 3
Source: RefSeq, a predicted model, not a curated record